UACGUAGGGGGCAAGCGUUGUCCGGAUUUAUUGGGCGUAAAGAGCGUGUAGGCGGCCACACAGGUCUGCUGUGAAAACUCGAGGCUCAACCUCGAGCUGUCGGUGGAAACCGUGUGGCUAGAGUCCGGAAGAGGAGAGUGGAAUUCCCGGUGUAGCGGUGAAAUGCGCAGAUAUCGGGAAGAACACCCGUGGCGAAGGCGGCUCUCUGGGACGGUACUGACGCUGAGACG
Molecule: ribosomal RNA, 230 nt
Filed under: uncultured bacterium
Lineage: Bacteria
Description: partial 16S ribosomal RNA
Rfam family: Bacterial small subunit ribosomal RNA
Source: RNAcentral